GACGAACGCUGGCGGCGUGCCUAAUACAUGCAAGUUGAGCGCUGAAGGUUGGUCCUUGUACCAACUGGAUGAGCAGCGAACGGGUGAGUAACGCGUGGGGAAUCUGCCUUUGAGCGGGGGACAACAUUUGGAAACGAAUGCUAAUACCGCAUAAAAACUUUAAACACAAGUUUUAAGUUUGAAAGAUGCAAUUGCAUCACUCAAAGAUGAUCCCGCGUUGUAUUAGCUAGUUGGUGAGGUAAAGGCUCACCAAGGCGAUGAUACAUAGCCGACCUGAGAGGGUGAUCGGCCACAUUGGGACUGAGACACGGCCCAAACUCCUACGGGAGGCAGCAGUAGGGAAUCUUCGGCAAUGGACGAAAGUCUGACCGAGCAACGCCGCGUGAGUGAAGAAGGUUUUCGGAUCGUAAAACUCUGUUGGUAGAGAAGAGCGUUGGUGAGAGUGGAAAGCUCAUCAAGUGACGGUAACUACCCAGAAAGGGACGGCUAACUACGUG
This 497-nucleotide ribosomal RNA is filed under the name uncultured bacterium. RNAcentral's name for it is "partial 16S ribosomal RNA". It matches the Rfam family "Bacterial small subunit ribosomal RNA", at positions 28 to 507 of the family's 1533-position model. The record is from RNAcentral.